UACAGAGGGGGCGAGCGUUAUUCGGAAUCACUGGGCGUAAAGCGCACGUAGGCGGAUUGUUAAGUCGGGGGUGAAAUCCUGGAGCUCAACUCCAGAACUGCCUUCGAUACUGGCGAUCUUGAGUCCGGGAGAGGUGAGUGGAACUCCGAGUGUAGAGGUGAAAUUCGUAGAUAUUCGGAAGAACACCAGUGGCGAAGGCGGCUCACUGGUCCGGUACUGACGCUGAGGUGCGAAAGCGUGGGGAGCAACAGG
This 252-nucleotide ribosomal RNA is filed under the name uncultured bacterium. Its description in RNAcentral is "partial 16S ribosomal RNA". It matches the Rfam family "Bacterial small subunit ribosomal RNA", at positions 524 to 775 of the family's 1533-position model. The record is from RNAcentral.